GUGAAAUUCUUGAAUGAAAUCUUACUUUGACGUAUGUAUUAUUUUGCGCAAUAUUUACGUCCAAGAAAACUCCCAGAAAGCAGGAAAAUUAAAGGAAAUUCCAGUAGAAUUCAAUCAUUAACCUUUUCUUGGGUUUCCAAAGGAUCAAUUGGUGCAAUAAGAUUGUGAAUUAGUGAAGGAAGUAUCGUGGAAAUAGGAGUGAAAAUUUAGUGCAUCUGUUGCAUGAUCCGGAAUGAUUUCGCAUAGUUUUCAAAGUAAAACUAAAUCACAGGAAAUGGCUAGUGAGGUGAUUUUAUUCGGCUUCCUGCUCCCAUAAAAUUGAGAUCGAGUUAAAGAAAAUAUAUCUCAUUCUAGAGAAGAAAGCUCUCAGCCUCUCAAUAAAUGAUACUAAUUGAUCCGGAAGAGGCAAUUCACAAUGAGUCAAGGGCAAUCUCUGUAAACUGUGAACCCUAAAACUAAAAGAAAAUUGGAUUUUAUUUUUUGACGAUUAACUCUUUACUUAAGGAAGUAUAAUCAUUCCUGAAGAAUUACCAAAACUAUAACAUUUUCCUCUUGAUGGACCCUCUAAAUAAAGAAGGACCAUGAAGACCUCUUGACUUUCGAGCUAAUUACUCGAUUCCAAUUAAAAAUCAACAACAAAAUUUGCAAAAAUCUUCGCAGAUACAAUUAAAUCGAGUAGAAAAAAAUAUUCUGGCAUAAGAAAACAACUCCAUAUGAACAAAUAAAAAAAUACGCUGACUCGCUAUUUGUAUUUCCAUACAAGGCUUUGCGAGAGAGAGUAGACUGAAAACUCAAAACAAAGAUCACGAGGAUUCCGAAGUUGAGAACAAUGACUGUGGGCAGAAAUAUUUAAGAAGGGGCUAAUCGAUGAAGAGGCAGAAGCCAUCGAGAGAUAGAGUGAUGAAGGAGCACGGGAAUACGAGCAAACCCUUCCACUGUGAGAUCUGCGACAAGCAGUUCCGUCAGCUCUCAACACUCAUGAACCAUCUGAAAAUCCACACGGGUGAGAAGCCCUUUGAAUGUGACAUCUGCAAGAAGCAAUUCCGGCAGUCUAGUACACUCACGAAUCACGUGAAAAUUCACACGGGCGAGAAACCCUUUAGUUGCACAUACUGCGCCAAACAAUUCCGGCAACUGUCCACACUCACGAAUCACAUAAAAAUUCACACGGGUGAAAAGCCCUUUGAGUGUGCUGUCUGCAAAAAACAAUUCAGACAGUCUAGCACCCUAAAUAACCACAUCCGGGUCCAUGUUAGUGAAAAGAUAAUUAUUAUCAAUUGAAAAUGAUCUAAAGAUCAUUCAACCCCUGCCUGCGUACACCUUUCCGGCACCAUCUUUAUAGACUGCUAGACUCCGCAGAAUUCAUCGAGGCGAUAGUAACGUGUGAGUGCAACAAUAUACUUUUACAGGGCCAUUUGCUAUUGUAGAAAUAUGUAUAGCAUAAAAUAAAAAAAGUUUAAAAGAUAAAAAGAAAAAAUGUAGAAGAGAGAGAUCCCAAAACGAUGUAAAUUGUAAAGUGAUGUGAAUAUAUAUAUUUAAAAAUGUUUUCUAUAAAA
Long non-coding RNA from Lutzomyia longipalpis, 1556 nucleotides. RefSeq lists it as uncharacterized. The record is from RefSeq and is a predicted model, not a curated record. The transcript has 2 exons. Lineage: Eukaryota; Metazoa; Arthropoda; Insecta; Diptera; Psychodidae.